This 768-nucleotide long non-coding RNA is filed under the name Bos taurus (domestic cattle). RNAcentral describes it as "long non-coding RNA NONBTAT013610". Lineage: Eukaryota; Metazoa; Chordata; Mammalia; Artiodactyla; Bovidae. The record is from RNAcentral.
AAAGGAUUCCUCCUUCCUAUACAGAUAGUGCAACCUAACCUAAACUUUGUGACGGAACUUUGAAGUAAUCCAAAAAGGUGUGCACAGAUGAGAGGUUUCUCCCAUAGGUUUCCAUCAGUCUGCCAUUAUAGCGUAUACCGUGAAUGCCUUGCUUUUAUUUCAUACUUGUUACAGAAAAGCCGUUAUGUACUCGCUGAACGCCCUUGCCAGGCUGCACCAAAUCUGUGUACAGUUUCAGUUUUCUCAGUUGUCACUCAUUAGAGACAGAUGUCUUGUAAUGUUUCAGUAUUUUCUGACUUGAACCUUUUCUUCCCGGUCAGAAUCGGGCUAAAUUUUAUAUUAUUUAUUCUUAUCCUGUUUGUCAUUUGGACAUAGGGUCUCGAUGAGUGUAGGUUGGAAGACCUUAGGCAUACGUCAGAGUUUUAGGCCCCAAACUCCGGAAUUUGGGAUUACCUAUUUUUAAGGGGUGAUUUAUGCCUCUUCUGUGUGUAGGUAAGGAAGUUGGUCCUUUUUAAAGUAGCACCUUAUUUUACUCUAAAAAGGAGUCAUAGAACCUACUUGUGUAAGUGUGCCCACCAUGAGCUGCACUGGACCCUGGGGCUCAGGCCUAGUCACACGGGUAGCAUCUGUUUGCUGAGAAGUGAAAAUACACAUCUGUAGAAAUGUGGCACACGCCUUCCACAACCCAACUGUGAAACACAGGGUCACAUGCUCUGAAAGGUACCUUUUUCAAAGUAUAGUGCCAUCACUUGUCAUAUAAAACCAAAA